AACGAACGCUGGCGGCAUGCCUAACACAUGCAAGUCGAACGAGACCUUCGGGCCUAGUGGCGCACGGGUGCGUAACGCGUGGGAACCUGCCCUUAGGUUCGGAAUCACUCCCCGAAAGGGGUGCUAAUACCGGUUAAUGUCUUCCGACCAAAGAUUUAUCGCCUUUGGAUGGGCCUGCGUUGGAUUAGCUGGUUGGUAGGGUAAAAGCCUACCAAGGCGACGUUCCAUAGCUGGUUGGUGAGGAUGAUCAGCCACACUGGGGCUGAGACACGGCCCAGACUCCUACGGAAGGCAGCAGUGGGGAAUAUUGGACAAUGGGCGAUAGCCUGAUCCAGCAAUGCCGCGUGAGUGAUGAAGGCCGUAGGGUUGUAAAGCUCUUUUACCCGGGAUGAUAAUGACAGUACCGGGAGAAUAAGCUCCGGCUAACUCCGUG
RNAcentral lists this ribosomal RNA (433 nucleotides) under uncultured bacterium. Its description in RNAcentral is "partial 16S ribosomal RNA". It matches the Rfam family "Bacterial small subunit ribosomal RNA", at positions 29 to 507 of the family's 1533-position model. The record is from RNAcentral.